AUGCGCGGCACGGGCCAGAAGCUGCUGUUUCUCCGUGAGAUAUUUCCAGCGGACACGAUAACGAUACGCCUGGCCCCGCGCUUUGCGUCGGCGUGCAGGCGUCUCGCUUACACCGCACGUGUUGCAAUCGCAUGUUUCAAUCCGUGUCGUCUCGGAGCCGAGAAAGAAGAAUCUAUGCUCCAAGUCGACGAAGCAUGGGCAUCUCGAGCUCUCCGGGUCGAAAGGAUGCUCAUCUUCAUACGACCUCCUGCGACGAUCGUACGGGGAACAACUCCAAAGGGAGAGCGCGCUGGCCGGACUGGACUCCCGAGCACCUUGGUCGAUCCAGGAGGACUUCACAUCGGGAAUCUGAUAGCUAGAGGGUGUAUCUCAUCUAAGCUCUCCCUCAAAAAAUUCCUUCACGUUCAAAGUUGA
Molecule: ribosomal RNA, 414 nt
Filed under: Triticum aestivum (bread wheat)
Lineage: Eukaryota; Viridiplantae; Streptophyta; Magnoliopsida; Poales; Poaceae
Description: partial small subunit ribosomal RNA
Source: RNAcentral